AGGUGAGACUGUUGGCUUUAAUUCCACCAAUAACUUCAGCUGCGCCAUGAAGAGUAGACAGAAGAUUAUGGCGGUUGAGGGUUUCUUCGUAGAGGUUGAUCGAUCCUUAAUGUCCUGUGGAAUUUAAGUUUCCGAAACUGUUUAUGAGGACAUACAAGAUCGUUCAGUGUCCAAGAAGAAGCCUGAGCCGCUAUAAUCAUCGGUCUAAUCUCUUUAGCAGAUGAUGUUAUUUGUGGUAUAAAACCAACAGUUUUAUCA
MicroRNA precursor from Arabidopsis lyrata subsp. lyrata, 258 nucleotides. It matches the Rfam family "MIR856 microRNA precursor family". Lineage: Eukaryota; Viridiplantae; Streptophyta; Magnoliopsida; Brassicales; Brassicaceae. The record is from Rfam.